This 444-nucleotide ribosomal RNA is filed under the name uncultured soil bacterium. RNAcentral describes it as "bacterial SSU rRNA". It matches the Rfam family "Bacterial small subunit ribosomal RNA", at positions 26 to 518 of the family's 1533-position model. The record is from RNAcentral.
AGAACGAACGCUGGCGGCAUGCCUAAUACAUGCAAGUCGAACGAACACUUCGGUGUUAGUGGCGCACGGGUGCGUAACGCGUGGGAAUCUGCCCUUGGGUUCGGAAUAACAGUUGGAAACGACUGCUAAUACCGGAUGAUGACGAAAGUCCAAAGAUUUAUCGCCCAGGGAUGAGCCCGCGUAGGAUUAGCUAGUUGGUGAGGUAAAGGCUCACCAAGGCGACGAUCCUUAGCUGGUCUGAGAGGAUGAUCAGCCACACUGGGACUGAGACACGGCCCAGACUCCUACGGGAGGCAGCAGUAGGGAAUAUUGGACAAUGGGCGAAAGCCUGAUCCAGCAAUGCCGCGUGAGUGAUGAAGGCCUUAGGGUUGUAAAGCUCUUUACCCGAGAUGAUAAUGACAGUAUCGGAGAAUAAGCCCCGGCUAACUCCGUGCCAGCAGCCGC